Molecule: long non-coding RNA, 1612 nt
Organism: Pseudopipra pipra
Lineage: Eukaryota; Metazoa; Chordata; Aves; Passeriformes; Pipridae
Exons: 2
Source: RefSeq, a predicted model, not a curated record
CGGGGCCGGGCCGGGGCUGGGCCCGCCUCUGAGGGUCGCUGGGAAUGUCAGACCGAAACCGCGCCUUGCUGCUUGUGCGCACGGGGGGUUCCCACAGAUACCCCUCUGCGUUACUUUGUCCCGAUCGCAGCACGGUCUAUCUCACGCCAGCAGGGUUUGGAACGGUCUCCCAAGAUUAAUGCCGUGAUUGAGGUGAAAGGCAUAUACCAGGUGUCUUCUUUCCUUCCUCUUCUUUCGUGUGAAACAUCUUUUCCAGCCACAUUUUUCAGUUUUGAGUUUUCUGUCGUUACUCUGCAACAGUGGGAAAAACGCCCUGCCUCGUCGAAAUGUAUGCUGAAGUACAAGCACAUAAAUAGCUGAAGUACUUAACUGCUCGUACUUAACGAAAAGGAAUUCCUGAUUAAUAUUUCAGUUGAAUAACGUAAUUUAAGAUUCUCUGGGGAAUGCUCUGCAUCCUCUUCCCUCUCCCUACCUGUAACUGAGAAUUUUGUUUAAUAAAAGCAAGAAUGUUGCCUCCUUCUUUCUCUUUUAUGGAGACCAUAAAAAGCCAGUGGAGUGAAGUACUGGAGGAGACCUUUAAGGGCAAGAACACUGUGAGGCAGCACAGUGUUAUCUUUGGCAGGUGUUUAUCAGACCUGUCCAUAAAAACCUGCUCUCUACGAUGUUUAAUAAUGAUGAGAAAGAUAUUUAUAUCAUCUAAUCCAUACAUAAUGAAAAUAUUAAUUUUAAAAAAUCAGUUUUGACCCGGCCACACACUUUCCUUUGGACCUGUCACCUGUCUUUCCUAGCGUGCUCCAACUCCCAGCCUUUCGCCCACUCCAUCUCCCACAGCAAACAAAACUCCAGGAUCCCUUAUGCCUGGACGCUUGACAUCCAGCUGAUGCAUGGUUUUAGCCAUUUAUUUAAAUUUCUGUCUGUCCGUAUCCUCCAAACAGGGAGCCCGCUGUGGGAGCGCUUUCCCACAGAAGGGAAAAAAGCGGGGAGGGGACCCCGCGGCAAAGGGUGCUGCCGGGUCCCUCCGGACCUCUGGGGAGAUUGGUUACUCGUUCCCGAUCCCGCUAGAUGGCACUGGCCGCCACGCUAAGUGGAGCAUCCCAGACGGAGCUGCCGUCCGCCCAGUGGCUUCUGGAGGGCGUCGACGGGAGGGAUGGAGGCGAUGGGAACGUGCUCCCUCUUUCCCGUGCAGCACUGCACUGGGUGGAGUCCUGCUCCUGCCUCACCCGGCACCGAGCUUUGGACGCCGAACACCAUUGACAGAAAGAUUCAGUGCCUCUGGACGAGCACAGGGAGGCAAAUUUGUUUCUCUCAGCUCUUGGAUACAGAAGUCUUCUGGGCCUGCCUGCUUAGCUGGUAUCCCUCAGUGCUGCAGAGCUCGUGAGUACAGGACAGGGAGCCUGCCCGGGUGUAGGCACCCGCUCGAUGCAAGGGAAGGACUAGAGGCCCUGGGGAGGCAUUUCUCCUUGGAGGGAAUGCAACAAAGUGCAUGAAGUGCAUGCUGCAUUUCUCACCUGAACAGUGGCCACGUUUUGUGAAAGCGCAGCAGAGCAGAUUUGGGAAGAAUUUGAGGAAGGAUAAUUAGGUUAGUUCAGCACUUGUUUAGUGUCUGACUCCU